MicroRNA precursor from Accipiter nisus (Eurasian sparrowhawk), 83 nucleotides. NCBI's taxonomy places the organism in Eukaryota, Metazoa, Chordata, Aves, Accipitriformes, Accipitridae. The record is from Ensembl.
GUUCUUGUGUUAAGGUGCAUCUAGUGCAGUUAGUGAAGUAGCGUAGAAUCUACUGCCCUAAAUGCUCCUUCUGGCACAAGCUG